Molecule: ribosomal RNA, 918 nt
Filed under: Vibrio azureus
Lineage: Bacteria; Pseudomonadati; Pseudomonadota; Gammaproteobacteria; Vibrionales; Vibrionaceae
Description: bacterial SSU rRNA
Rfam family: Bacterial small subunit ribosomal RNA
Source: RNAcentral
GGGAACGUUAAGGGCGUCGAGCGGCGGACGGGUGAGUAAUGCCUAGGAAAUUGCCCUGAUGUGGGGGAUAACCAUUGGAAACGAUGGCUAAUACCGCAUGAUGCCUACGGGCCAAAGAGGGGGACCUUCGGGCCUCUCGCGUCAGGAUAUGCCUAGGUGGGAUUAGCUAGUUGGUGAGGUAAUGGCUCACCAAGGCGACGAUCCCUAGCUGGUCUGAGAGGAUGAUCAGCCACACUGGAACUGAGACACGGUCCAGACUCCUACGGGAGGCAGCAGUGGGGAAUAUUGCACAAUGGGCGCAAGCCUGAUGCAGCCAUGCCGCGUGUGUGAAGAAGGCCUUCGGGUUGUAAAGCACUUUCAGUCGUGAGGAAGGUGGUGUAGUUAAUAGCUGCAUUAUUUGACGUUAGCGACAGAAGAAGCACCGGCUAACUCCGUGCCAGCAGCCGCGGUAAUACGGAGGGUGCGAGCGUUAAUCGGAAUUACUGGGCGUAAAGCGCAUGCAGGUGGUUUGUUAAGUCAGAUGUGAAAGCCCGGGGCUCAACCUCGGAAUAGCAUUUGAAACUGGCAGACUAGAGUACUGUAGAGGGGGGUAGAAUUUCAGGUGUAGCGGUGAAAUGCGUAGAGAUCUGAAGGAAUACCGGUGGCGAAGGCGGCCCCCUGGACAGAUACUGACACUCAGAUGCGAAAGCGUGGGGAGCAAACAGGAUUAGAUACCCUGGUAGUCCACGCCGUAAACGAUGUCUACUUGGAGGUUGUGGCCUUGAGCCGUGGCUUUCGGAGCUAACGCGUUAAGUAGACCGCCUGGGGAGUACGGUCGCAAGAUUAAAACUCAAAUGAAUUGACGGGGGCCCGCACAAGCGGUGGAGCAUGUGGUUUAAUUCGAUGCAACGCGAAGAACCUUACCUACUCUUGACAUCC